GACGAACGCUGGCGGCGUGCCUAACACAUGCAAGUCAAGGAGAAUUCCCGACUUGUCGGGAUAGUAAACUGGCGAACGGGUGAGUAACACGUAGGUAAUCUACCCUCGGGAUCGGGAUAACCUCGCGAAAGUGGGGAUAAUACCGAAUAAAGUCUCGGUAUAAUUUGUCGAGAUGAAAGAAUGGGGAUCUUCGGACCUAUUACCUGGAGGAUGAGCCUGCGCCUGAUUAGCUAGUUGGUAGGGUAAAUGCCUACCAAGGCAACGAUCAGUAGCUGGUCUGAGAGGAUGAUCAGCCACAUUGGGACUGAGAUACGGCCCAGACUCCUACGGGAGGCAGCAGUGAGGAAUUUUGCGCAAUGGGCGAAAGCCUGACGCAGCAACGCCGCGUGACUGAUUAAGCUCUGAGGAGUGUAAAAGUCUGUCGUAGAGGAAGAAACUAUCCGAUAAGAAUAUUGUCGGAUACUGACGGUACUCUAAUGAGAAAGCUCCGGCUAA
This 495-nucleotide ribosomal RNA is filed under the name uncultured bacterium. RNAcentral describes it as "bacterial SSU rRNA". It matches the Rfam family "Bacterial small subunit ribosomal RNA", at positions 28 to 500 of the family's 1533-position model. The record is from RNAcentral.